ACGAACGCUGGCGGCGUGCCUAAUACAUGCAAGUAGAACGCACAGUUUAUACCGUAGCUUGCUACACCAUAGACUGUGAGUUGCGAACGGGUGAGUAACGCGUAGGUAACCUGCCUGGUAGCGGGGGAUAACUAUUGGAAACGAUAGCUAAUACCGCAUAAUAUUAAUUAUUGCAUGAUAAUUAAUUGAAAGGUGCAAUUGCACCACUACCAGAUGGACCUGCGUUGUAUUAGCUAGUAGGUGAGGUAACGGCUCACCUAGGCGACGAUACAUAGCCGACCUGAGAGGGUGAUCGGCCACACUGGGACUGAGACACGGCCCAGACUCCUACGGGAGGCAGCAGUAGGGAAUCUUCGGCAAUGGACGAAGGUCUGACCGAGCAACGCCGCGUGAGUGAAGAAGGUUUUCGGAUCGUAAAGCUCUGUUGUAAGAGAAGAACGGGUGUGAGAGUGGAAAGUUCACACUGUGACGGUAUCUUACCAGAAAGGGACGGCUAACUACGUG
This 504-nucleotide ribosomal RNA is filed under the name uncultured bacterium. RNAcentral describes it as "partial 16S ribosomal RNA". It matches the Rfam family "Bacterial small subunit ribosomal RNA", at positions 29 to 507 of the family's 1533-position model. The record is from RNAcentral.